AUGCUAAUUGAGUAUUUAAUUUAAAUUGUAUAAUGGAAACAGGCCAUUUCUCUGCAUCUGAAUUUUUAUUUAAAAAACUAGGACGAAUGUGAUAGUGUUUGUUUAUACUCUUGUUAGCAGUACAUAAAUACAAUAUAUGUAUAUACAAUACCAAAUAACAUCCGUGGAAGUCAAAAAUACUGUCGAUACCAGAGUACAUUGAAUAUAUUUAUUUUAGAUUAAAACUCGGUUAUUUAUCUGAAAUGAUGAUUUCUAAGUUGAAUAAUACCACAGAUGAUGAGUAAUAAGGUAUAGAACUGGAUAUAAGAAUAUCUUGGAGUUUCGUAACAAACUUGGCUAUUUUUAACACUCAGUGUGAUAAUAAUAUCAGAUAAAAGAAAUUUAUAACUAAAAUGUGGCAGUACCGUUUUGUUCUAAAUACCAUGUGAAAUAUACAUAUAUCAAACAGACAUCUCACGCAACUUCCAUGUUUGUAUUUUUCACGGUCCAUGUAAUCUAGACUUGACUGCAAAGUAGUGAAAGCAAAAUAAAAUGAAUAAGAUACGAUAAUCUGGGACACAAUGGAAUUAUAGAAUUACACCAAGAUUUCUAAAGAUGUUAUUGGCGCCUCUCGGUCAACCACGUGUUGAUAAAUAUGUGUCUAGCCGAGGCAAACGUUCUUCUGUCACCGAAAAAGGAUCAUUUGUUCCUCCCGUUUGAUCUCCCUCGUUGCACUAUCUUUCAACGCGCGACUCAAGAAUGAGAUGCACGCAGAAAAGCCAACUUGUUUUAGUAGGACUCAAGUACCGACUAACGUCGGAUGUCUUCGAGUUCUCUCUCCUGUUCCGACCUUUUCUCUUGUCAUUCUUUUUAUCAAAACCUACGUUUUCUUCUCAUUUUAAUUACAAUCGCACACCAAUCUUACGUUAUCAUUUGUUGAUAUACUUGGGAGGUUAAUUGAAUUAUUUAUUCAAUAAAUCAGUUUGAUGAUAAACAUUACUGUGAAAUUGUUUUUGAGUUUCCAAUGCAAAAUUAUAAGCUAUCCAAGAGCAUUUAUUGAAAUUACAUCAAAGUGCAUGGAAGAUAAUAAAUUAUAUAACGACAACGUAUACAUUCUGAGGAUUUAAUGAAAAUUACAUUGGAUAAUCAUUAAUUGCGUUAGAAAUAUGUCGAUCGCAAUGAGAUUACCGUUCUUCUUCACGACACUACUACUCGUGAUUCUUUUUGGUAUUCCAUCGACCUUGGUUGAAUCAGCGCCGCAUCAGAGGACCCUACGAUUGUGCUCCAAGAGCUUGAGUGAUGCUCUUUAUCUCGUUUGCAGUGAUCGUGGUUAUAAUGAGCCUUUUUCGAGUAAUGGGGAUGAAGACACAAGAGUCUCAGCUGGUCCGGGAAUUGUGGAAGAAUGUUGCCAUCGGUGGUGUAGCUACGCGCAACUUGAGCAGUAUUGCAAACCUCCAUCCUCUAAUUAAAAGUGUUGGAUUUCGCAAGAUGGAAUCUAAAUCACGAGAAAUUCAAGGAAAGUCAUCAUUUUCAUUAAAGCAACAAACGAUGUUUGAUAAAGAAAAUCAGUUAAUUAUCAUCAGAAAACUAUCAGCAAAAUACAGUGAUGUCUAUCACUGCAGAAAACAUUUAAUUUCAACAAUCAAUAUGAUUAUUAUUUACAACAAAGUUACAAGGCGUAAUCACGAAAAAAUAACAAGUUGUAGUGGAGAGAAAGGCGUAUGGAACGAGGAACCAAAGUCUAUUUAAUAAUAACGUAUAUGUUGGACUUGAUUGACUUCUCUGUUUAUACUGCAAAAAUAUUGUGAUAUGGACUUGAGAUAAAAGUUGACAAUUCAAUUGCUGGUAGCGGAAACACGUAACUCGAUGAUUUGGAUUAUAAGCCAUUCUUGUCUAUUGAAAUCACUUACGGAGUGGUACAGAAGAUUAUAUACGUGAUUGACUGUGUUACUAAUAAAUUAAACAAAUUAUAGACAAUUGGGAUUCCAAUAUUUGGAAUUGAGUGAGAAGAAUUAAGAGACAAUUAAUGCAAUCAAUAUAUUAUAAUACGUGUACAGUUUAAUUGAAUUACGAUAUAUAUUAUAAGUAAAGAAAAAAAUAUUUUUUCAGGCUGUUAUUAUCAAGUAGUGCUUAUCUCAUCGUAUUGAGCCCUCAAAAAAUAUUUUAUAUUAUUAUAUGAGCAAAAUACGAUGUCAAUAACUGAUGAUCUCAUUAAUAUUAA
This 2200-nucleotide long non-coding RNA is filed under the name Chelonus insularis. RNAcentral's name for it is "uncharacterized LOC118065199". The record is from RNAcentral. Lineage: Eukaryota; Metazoa; Arthropoda; Insecta; Hymenoptera; Braconidae.